CGCGACCCCAGGUCAGGCGGGACUACCCGCUGAGUUUAAGCAUAUCAAUAAGCGGAGGAAAAGAAACUUACCAGGAUUCCCCUAGUAACGGCGAGCGAACCGGG
RNAcentral lists this ribosomal RNA (104 nucleotides) under Helianthemum alypoides. RNAcentral's name for it is "partial 28S ribosomal RNA". It matches the Rfam family "Eukaryotic large subunit ribosomal RNA", at positions 1 to 102 of the family's 3401-position model. Lineage: Eukaryota; Viridiplantae; Streptophyta; Magnoliopsida; Malvales; Cistaceae. RNAcentral also lists the same sequence under 8 other names. The record is from RNAcentral.